RNA transcript from Chiroxiphia lanceolata (lance-tailed manakin), 3749 nucleotides. RefSeq lists it as uncharacterized. The transcript is spliced from 3 exons. Lineage: Eukaryota; Metazoa; Chordata; Aves; Passeriformes; Pipridae. The record is from RefSeq and is a predicted model, not a curated record.
AGGGCAGAGCCCUGGAGUGCCCUCUUUCUCCCAGGAGAGCAUCUGUCUCAGGAGGCAGCAUCUCUCUCGGGAGCCUCAGCGGCAGAGGAAGUAGCCGACGUGAACGAUGUGGAAGAUGAAGAAGUUUACCAACUUGCAGCCAUGCAAGUGGCUGUCGAGCUGGCAGAGGAAGAACAAGGUGGACAACUGGCAGACGCAGGCAGCAGCGCAGGAAGAGGAGAACAGCAGCUCUUCUGCUGCCGUGGCCCAGCAGGUGAGAGCAGCAGGGGCAGAGAGCCAGGCAGCUGCCCCACACAGCCCCAGAGGCUGCGGCCGCGCUGUGCUGGACACACUGCAGCGUGUGGCACGCGCCACCCGGCGCAGGCUUGCAUCUGGGAUCCGGAGACGUGGCCAGGAGCCGGAGCCACAGAGGGAGGUAGAACCAGGUAUGGAGGUAGUGACAGCAGGAACAUCCACAGCAGCAGGGUCAGAGAGGCAGGACCCUGCCCUGCAAAGCCCCUGCUGUCCCCCCAGCCCCUUCCCAAGCCAUCUGGAAGCUCUCAAUGGGCAGUGGGCCAGGGCAGCAGCAAGGGCAGUGCUGCCAGUGGCAGAGAGCAAGGAGGGGGCCUGGUCUGAGGAGCUCUCAGACAUCUCCAGCCAAUCAGAGCAGUCCCAAGGGGAGGAAAGGACAGAGCAACCGCUGUCCCAUGGAGGAGACAACAACGGUCAAGAGCUGUUUCAGGAGAAGACAGAGAAGAAGAAGAGCAGCCAAGUCCACACCAUAUGGGUCAAGCCCUUUUACCCGGAGGUCUUGCUGGACCCCCACACUGGUUGCCAGGAGGGGCCCGGUUUCCCCAGCAGUGUGGGCAUACAGGUGGUAGAAGAGGCAGACACUGACCUGCACAGCUCUUGUCCUACCCUGGCGGGUCCCACGGACAGCCAGGCAGAAGCUGCUGCCCUCACCAGAGCUCCUGAGGAAGAGGAGCACUGCACACCUGUCACUGCCAAGGUACAAGAGGCGGCAAAGACAUCAACUUCUCCUGCCUUGGGCGAGCAGGCGACAGCAGCAGGGCCAGGGAGCCAGGCAGCUGCCCUGCACACCCCCUUCUGCUCCCCCAGCCCCUCGCCAAUCCAGCUGGAAGCCAAUGGCCUCAGCGAGCAGUGGGCAAGGGCAGCAGCAAAGACAGUGCUUCCAGUACCAGAGGCUGAGGAGGGGGCCUUUUCCAAGCUGGGGCGAGACUUAAAUGUGUACAGCCCCCAAGAGCUGCCCCCAAGAGCUGGGGAACGCAGUGGAGACCAAAGCUGGAGCAGCAGAGAAAAGGGGUUCCCUGUGGCCAUCCCACGUGAGGUAUUGGCAGAGUCCCGGGACCUUCAAGGGCCCACACCGAGAGCCCGUGCCCCAGUUCGCCGCAGCAGCAGCCCUUACAUCAGGCCACAGGCCCCGACCCCGGACCGCUGUGCCCUCAGCCCCUCGCCAUGUGAGCUGGAAACUCUCAGUGGGCAGUGCGGGGGCGUCUGGUCCUCAGAGGUCUGGGACAUCUCCAGGGAGUCCCAAGGACAAGAACACACACACCAACCGCUGUCCCAGGAGGAAGACAGCAACGACAAUGAGCUGUCACAGGACAACUGGGAAGACAUCAAGAUCUACACCAUUUGGGUCAAGCCCUCCCUCAUACCAAUCUUGCUGGAACCUCAGACUGGGGGCCAGGAGGGGCCCAAAUGCCCCUGCACCAUAUGCAGAGAGGCAGCAGAACAGACAGACAGUGACCAGCACAGCACAGCAGCAGGGGCAGAGAGCCAGGCAGCUGCCCUGCACAGUUCCCCCUGCCCUGCCAGCCCCUCACCAAGCCAGCUGGCAGCUCUCAGUGAGCAGUGGGCAGUGGCAGCGGUGGGGGCAUUCCUGCCAGUGGCCCAGACAAAGGAGACGGCCUGGUCCGAGGAUGGGAGUCUCUGGGACAUCUCCAGCCUCUUAGAGCGCUGCCAAGAGGAAGAAAACACAGCUGAAAGCUGGAAUACUGGGGGAGCAACUAGCUCUGUGUCCCUCCCCUGCGGGCCACGGGCAGAGCCCUGGGACGCUCAAGAAGGCACAUCCACGGACAAUGAUCUGGGGGCAGUCCGGGACAUGGGUCCUUCCAACCCAAACCAGCAGUUUUACAUGGGCACAGACAUGGACUUGACAGAAGAAGGCCUUUUCCAACCCAGACAAAGUGCAAAGCAGAACUCCCAGGAACAGCAGGCCGUCAGGGGGGCCACUUGCUUGGAGGACUUGCUGGUGUCGGACAGACAGUCUUUUGAGCGUUGGCAAGUCGAGCCCUCACCAACAGCUGUCUCAGCACAGCGGCCCUCUCUCUUCAGGGAGGCGCUCCGGGCUCUGCGCAGGGCAUUCUGCUGGCCCUGCCUGGCGGAUUGGGAUGGCGGCUCCCAGGGUGUGGCGGUGACUGCACCGACAUCCACCUGAUGACCGGUCACCAGUGCUGUCGCCCAGGGCUCAGUGUUGGGGCCAGUCCUGCUGCUCUGUUGGUUUGGAUUGCCCUUUGCCCGGUCAUCGAGGACUUCACCUGACUGCCACGAUUUUCCAAAACCAUGGCGAGUGGCCUAGCAACUUUGUCUGCCAGCUCCCUCAGGACCUGUGGAUGAACCUCAGCGGGUCCCUUGUGCACAUUCAGGUUCCUGACACGCUCUCGAACCUGAUCCUCUGCUGCAGGGGACUUAGGCUCUUCUGCCAGUCCCUGCCUUCGCCUUUCUCCACUUGGGCGGCGUGGCUGGAGCACUUGCUGUCGGAGACUGAAGCACAGAAGUCAUCAAGAGCCUCAGCCUUCUCUUUGUGCAUGAUAGCCACGUCUGCCAGUUCCUUCUGGAGAGGGCCCACUUUAUCCCUAGUCUGUCUUUAGCAAGACAGCUGUAGAAGCCCUUCCUGUUCUCCUUAAGAGCUCUGGCCAGACUCAAGCCGAGCUGGGCCUUGGCUUUCCCACCCUUGUCCCCAGCUUCCCUACCCUUGUCCCCAUCCUCCCACACCACCUGUCCUUCUUUCCGUUCCCUGAAAUAGGAGAAUAAGUCCCCUUAAGUUCUGUAGGAUAAAGUAGGGGUAGGGAAGAAUUAGCUGAGUUAAGUUCCAUAGGAUAAAGUAGGGGUAGGUGUUAGCAGUGCUCUCCACUUGAAUUUCAAAGAACAAGGUAAAGGCCGUCUCAUGCUUUCUCUUCCCGUUUCCUGACCAAAAUGACAAACGGUGCUUUAGCAUGGGCGGUGACCUAGGAGAGCCUAGUGUUUCAAGUAGACUUGUGAGAGUUUAAAAUAAAGAUUGGUUUUGAAAGAAAAGUGCCAGGAAGCUUGUCUUGUAAUGGUUGGGCUCGGACUUGUUCCUUAGGCAGCUGAGCUGUGUCCCUUGGCAAGUGUGUGUGCAAUAGAGCUGUCCUGGAGGCUGAAGGCAGCACAGGGACGUCUGUAAGCACAGCUGGGUAACUGCCACCGAGUGGGUCUUUCGUUCUUGGAAGUAGAAGUUUGUUUUUCAGGCUCUCCCGAUGUUCGUGUGUUGCUGCCCUCCAUUUUAUAAGGAGGAGUUCUUGGAAGACGUGUCUUCCAGGGCUGAGCCGCUGCUAAAUUACAACAGAAUAUCUAGAAGCCUUUGUUGAAAUGAAACUACUGGUUUGACCAAUAUGCAGAGCUGGUUCUUUUUGUCACGCUGUAGUCCGAUAUUUGGGAGGAAAUAAACCUCCUGAAGACCCAAGCCUUUUAGUUGCUGGGGCCAGUGAGUGUUGGGUGGGGUGAAGGAG